RNAcentral lists this long non-coding RNA (3303 nucleotides) under Nicotiana tabacum (common tobacco). Its description in RNAcentral is "long non-coding RNA (NTAB_LNC012479)". Lineage: Eukaryota; Viridiplantae; Streptophyta; Magnoliopsida; Solanales; Solanaceae. The record is from RNAcentral.
UGAAAGCCCAACAAGGCCUAGCCCAUUACCCCUUCUUCUUUAACCCUUCCAAAACCCCUUCUUCAAAAACCGAGGUAUGGAAAAAACCCUAGUCUCUCCUUCUUCUUUAACAUACACAAGAACAAACCUAACACCCUAAGAACCAGCCACACACACAGUCAUAGCCCCACCUCUCAACCACCACCCCUAAGAACUAGCAGAACUCCUCUAACAGCUUCCUCCCAAGUUAAAACCAGAAAAUCCCAGCCGUUGAAACACCCAACCGGCACCAUAGAACUCACACAAAAAUGCCAAGAUAAAUCCAGCAAUUAAUAUAAUUUCUAUCAAGUGUUUUAGUCAAAGUCUCAAUUCUUGGCUUAUGUCCAAACUUGCAUGAAGUUAAAAGUUCUUUAAUAACAAUUUUGAUUAUUUUAUUUAGUAAUGAAAUGGUAUUUUUUGUGUGGUAUACUGGUGCACAGAAGGUGGGAUAUAGGUCCUUAUAAGUUAGUCUUUGCAAUAUUAAUGGUUUUCAAGGUAAGAAUCCUUAAAGGUGUAUUGAGGCCGUUGAAUUUAAAACUCCGAGAUCUGCUCGAGGUCAGAGUCUGAGGUUCCGCUCGAGAUACGCGGUCCCGGUGUAAAUUUGAAGUGCUAUUAUCGGAUUGCACAAUAUUGUCUCUUGCAAGGGGAUCUUUCAUCAAUUCAAUUUUGAUCACCGUUUGGGUUCCACUUGAGGUGAACUCUUUACUUUGUUCUUUAAGCUCUCAUGUGUGUGAUUUAUGAUUGCUUGAGUUUCAUGCUUUAACUGCUAAUUUGUGAUUGACGUUCCAUAUUUUGUUCCAAGUCUAUUUGAGUUGAAUAUUUUAUGUAAACAUUGUUGAAUUCUUAUAGCAUUUGAAUGAAGGGUUCGGGCUUAAACGUAAAUGACAAUUUGAAUUGGAAAUGUUUCUUACUUUUAUUUAUCGUUUAUCGCUAGUAGCAUGUAUUAGGCCACUCACACCUGGGUAGGCAAACUUUAGGAUUUUGUUAAGUUUUGAGGCGAGAGGUCGUUCCCUUAGUUAAAUUUAUCCGGGGAAUGCCCCGAAGGAUUUGUAUAUAUUUUAUUCCGAGGAAUGCCCCGUAGUAUUCUGUAAUUAGAGGCCGAAAGCGAACUUGUAGUACUUUUGCAAUUAUUUUGUUUUUCUUUUUGCUAUUUUCUUUUAUUAAGUGGGGACGACCUCAAACCUAUUUCGUGUUUAUUUUUUUUCUUUAUGUGUUUUUACCUCAACUUAAAUAUUUUAAAAGCCAACUUGAUCAAGUAAGCGACCGUACUAGUUACGGGAAUUGGGGAGUGCCUAACACCUUCUCCCCGAGUCAAAUGAACCCUCUUACCCGAAUAUCUGGUGUGGACUUGGUUUUAGAGUCUGAAAUAUUUUAAAAGGAAAGAUCAUUUUUUUUAAAAAAAACGAUGACCUGGCACACCGAAAUCAAAGUCAGGUGGCGACUCUGAGUUAUUUUCCUUUUGAAUACAAUUUUUGUCACGUUCUAAUUAGAAAACCCUUUUCAAGCUUUACUAAAUCUUUUAAUAUUUUUAAGAGGGUUAGUGAGGUUGGUAAAAAAAGGGGUGUGACAUCUCUGGCGACUCUGCUGGGGAGUUGUAAGUUUGAGCUGGUACUUGAUCUUGUUGGCUUUUAGGAAAUUCGGUUGAGGUGUUUGUUUUCUUUAUUUGCUUUGUUUGUCUUAUUUUCUUGUUUUGUUGGUUAUUUGUUUAUCGCUUUUCUUAAUGUGUUACUGUUUUAUAAACUGUCAUCAUUUGCAUAACCAUGGGUCUUCUUUCUGCAACAAGUCUCGGAGUACGCGUCGCGUGCACGAAAUCUUUGUUGAGUCACCCUUAAUUUAGGAGGGGGAGGGGGCGUCAGACGUAUGGAGUGGGUGGAAAGCUUGAGCAUCCACCAUCGACCAUACGCUCUCCCGAAUUGCCUUGUUAGUGAACACCAAACUCAGGUCAGCCUUUAGGUCAUAUUUAUUUGCAUCAUGUCAUUUAGACCUAGCAGGGCUCGGUCCCAGGUACCGUGUCCCUUUGUAGGAAGCCUAUCCAAAUUUUGUCAAAAUGGGCUUGUGGCCUAAAAAGACAUUCAAUCAUCCCUAUGUGAUACAUGUUGCAUCUUUGAGGGUAAAAAGGUCAUUUGACGGACCGAUGUUUGGGAAAGUAGGGUGAAAGACGAAGCAAGUAGGGCCUAGUUAUAUUUUUUUUCACUACUUUUUCAACAAAAAAAAAAAGAAAAGAAAAAAAAUGAAAAUGAAAAAUCCAAAAAGAUUUUACACUUUCCCAUUAUUUUCCAAAAAUUUCAAAAAAAAAUCCAAAAAGAUUUUGCACUUUUCCAUCAUUUUUCCAAAAAAAAAAAGAGAAUACAAAAAAGAUUUUACAUUUUCCAUCAUUUUUCGAAAAGACAAAAAAAUAUUUUUUUUCUCCCAUAUCCAAUCUUCCCGAACUACGCAUACCUGAUUCUUAUCUUUUGGGGUGGGAUAUGUAGGCAGUCCACAUAGGGUCCGAUCUUCCUAGUAAGUCUUAGGUUCUUGGCUUCGACGGGUCUUAGCCAAAUCUUGCAUGUCUAGCCACUUUUGGCCACAUCGGCCAUUCUUGCAAAAUUGGAUUAUUUUCGCAAAAAUGUUUCAAUUGCCCAUGUCUUAGGAUCUUGAGUCCACAAAUCGGUGUAAUAUUACUUUAAGGUCCUUCCUUUUUGAGUUUGCAUCUUUAGUCACUUUCGGCUACAUAGGCCAUUUUUGCAAAAUGGGUCAUUUCUGCAAAUUAAUUUUUUUGGCCGUGAUUAUUGGGAAUUUGAAUCCAUAUAAGACUUAGUGAGGCAUUUUCCAUGUCUAUGGGGUCAACUUGUUGAGUCUACACUUCUAUCCACUCUUGGCCACAUAAGUUAAUUUUCACAAAUGGCCCAAUCGCGUCUUGUAUGUGUCCCAUAGGAGGUGUUGUGGCAUCGUAUAGUGUCUUGAGCCGCUAACUCUAUUUGAUCUUAUUUUUCUCAUUCAGGUAUGGAUCAAUUUGCUAGAGUUUGAGCAUGACAAAUAUCCUAGGACCAUUCUAGUCAAGGCCAUUGCAUGCACGAGUUGCUUGAGGAAACUUUUUAUUUUUUUAGUCUAUUUUAUGUUGUCUUUUAAUUAUUAGUCUUGUACAGUAGUAUCGAGUUUGUCAGUCUAGUUAAGAUUUUUGAGUCUUUUGUUAUAGUACUUCCUAUUUUGUAUUUGAAAAACCAAAAAAGAUUAUUAAAUGAAAAUUCCAAAAAGAUUUUUUGUUUCUUAGUUUAUUUUGUCCAUUAUUUUUCCAGAACUACGCGU